Molecule: ribosomal RNA, 468 nt
Filed under: uncultured bacterium
Lineage: Bacteria
Description: partial 16S ribosomal RNA
Rfam family: Bacterial small subunit ribosomal RNA
Source: RNAcentral
GACGAACGCUGGCGGCGUGCUUAACACAUGCAAGUCGAACGGAAAGGCCCUGCUUUUGUGGUGUGCUCGAGUGGCGAACGGGUGAGUAACACGUGAGUAACCUGCCCUUGACUUUGGGAUAACUUCAGGAAACUGGGGCUAAUACCGGAUAGGAUCUCCUGCUGCAUGGUGGGGGUUGGAAAGUUUCGGCGGGUGGGGAUGGACUCGCGGCUUAUCAGCUUGUUGGUGGGGUAGUGGCUGACCAAGGCUUUGACGGGUAGCCGGCCUGAGAGGGUGACCGGCCACAUUGGGACUGAGAUACGGACCAGACUGCUACGGGAGGCAGCAGUGGGGAAUAUUGCACAAUGGGCGGAAGCCUGAUGAAACAACGCCGCGUGCGGGAUGACGGCCUUCGGGUUGUAAACCGCUUUCGCCUGUGACGAAGCGUGAGUGACGGUAAUGGGUAAAGAAGCACCGGCUAACUACGUG